GUGAUAUACCCAUUGACAGGGUGAACCACAUGACUGACAAACUCUUUUGCCAAUCGCUGUAAAGAUAACGAAUCAUUCUAACAGUUUUUAAUUUUUUUUUUUAUUUCAAGAAACCAUAGGAUAAAAAAUACCAGAUAUUAAGCGACCUAAAUAAAACAUAAAGCGGGUGCACUCCAAAAGCAAGGAUGCCGUUAACUAGCCAGUUGGUUAGCCGGAGAUGGUUAAUUACAUAUUGAUAAAUGAUGAUGCUUGUACUUCGGAUUGGGUUUCUUCGUUGUGCCUCGUACUGUAAGCAGCAGCAAGGGUGGCUGUCCAACGCAAAACCUCUAAGGAUAACAGCCUACACAUUGCGAGCACGGAGCUUUAUAGACACUCUGAUCAUCAGCGAGGGAGACAUUAUCAUCGGCAACGGAGGCACGAUUAGGCGAUGGCCACCAUGUAAUUCAAAAAAGGUCUGUUAUGUGUGAAAUCUGUGCCAUACUCAGGAGUUAGAAUUGGAUAAACGUUAUUGGAAUAGCGGCUUCUUGCUGCAUCUCUCAACAUGAGCAGCCCUCAGCCUGCUCAGGAGGCUGGGGUGUCUGAUCUUGAGAUCAUAUCCCAGCAGGUGGAGGAGGAGAGCCAGUGCAUCGCUCCAGUCCAGCUUGUGAACUUCGCUUACACAGACCUGCCCCUCACGGGUCUCGACCUCUCCCUGGCCGGGUCCCAACUCCUGUCGAACCCGGAUGAGGAGGAUCAAAGAGAAAGGUAAGAUGAUGGGGUAAAAAAGAUGCCGGAUUCUCACAGCAGAAAUAUCCCUGCUACACUUCAAAUACUCUCCCAGUGACCAAUCUCAUCGCCAGACAUUUAAAUCUAAAAGCCUAAUUCCAUUUAAAAAAAGCAUGGAAAUGGAUACUCAUCAGAAGUACACUUGG
Long non-coding RNA from Polyodon spathula (Mississippi paddlefish), 911 nucleotides. RefSeq lists it as uncharacterized. NCBI's taxonomy places the organism in Eukaryota, Metazoa, Chordata, Actinopteri, Acipenseriformes, Polyodontidae. The transcript is spliced from 4 exons. The record is from RefSeq and is a predicted model, not a curated record.